UAAGCUUAUUCUCAUUUUUAUGUUAUAUAUAGUAUAUUUAAGUUUUUUAAAGUUAUUAUUUGCAAUCACGACAAAUGUUUGAUUUUGGCUUAAGUUUUUACAUUAUUAUUAAAAUUGUAUGAAAAUUAAAGUGUGAUUUAAACAAUUUAAUUAAAUAUUAAGUUGGUAUUCGAGUGAAAUAAAAUUAUAAACCUUUAUUGUCUCAGCAUAAAAUAUUAUAAAAUUAUACAUGAAGGUGUGAUAUAGUAAUAAUAUUAAAAUCUGAUAUAUAUUUGUGCCAGCAUUCGCGGUUAUACUUUAAGAUUGAGUAAAAAUUCUAAGGUUAUAGUUAGAUGAUUAAAUUAAAAAUCUCAUACAGGUAAUAAAAGGUAAAAUUAGGAUAUUAUUAUGUAUGGAGUAAAAUUAUAAUUGAAGCUAAAAAAGUUUAGAAAUAAACUAGGAUUAGAUACCCUAUUAUUCUAAAAUAAAUUUAAUAUAAAACUGAAUUAGUAAAAGAUAAAUACUUAAAAUUUAAAAAAUUUGGCGGCAAUUUAAUCUAUUCAGAGGAACCUGUUUUAGAAUCGAUAAACCACGAAAAAUCUUACUUGCUUUAGUAAUUCUAACAGUUUGUAUACCAUCAUUAUCAGAUAAUUCUUAAAGGAAAAAUUAUUAAAUUUAGUUGUUUAGUAAAAUUAGAUCAUGGUGCAGCCAAUAAGCAAGGUAAAAUGGGUUACAGUAAAUUACUUUACUGCGGAUUAAUAAGAUAAUAUUAUUAUAAAGAUGGAUUUGAUUGUAUUUUUAGUUUAAUAAGCUAACAAGAUAUAAGUUCUAAAUUGUGUACAUAUCGCCCGUCGCUUUCAUUUAUAAGUGAAAUAAGUCGUAACAUAGUAGAUGUACUGGAAAGUGUAUCUAGUAAAGAUGAGGAUAUGUAUAUUUUCUUUAUAAAUUAAUAAUUACCCAUCUAUUUA
This 947-nucleotide non-coding RNA is filed under the name Eriocheir sinensis (Chinese mitten crab). Lineage: Eukaryota; Metazoa; Arthropoda; Malacostraca; Decapoda; Varunidae. The record is from RNAcentral.